Long non-coding RNA from Dama dama (fallow deer), 4980 nucleotides. RefSeq lists it as uncharacterized. The transcript has 3 exons. The record is from RefSeq and is a predicted model, not a curated record. Lineage: Eukaryota; Metazoa; Chordata; Mammalia; Artiodactyla; Cervidae.
GGAAAAAAAAAAGAAAAAUCCUUAUCUGAAAGACAUGUACUUAAAUAUUUUUGAGUAAAAAUAUAUGAUAUCUGAGACUUGUUUUAAAAUUUAGUUUUAAAAAAGUAGUAGAAUAUAGGUGAAAAAUAGGGAUAGUCCUGAGUUGUUGAGUUAUGGGUACAUGGGUUCAUUGUACUGCUUUUUGUGUAUGUUUGAGGGUAGUAGUAAUAAAAAGUUUAAAAAAUCAUAUCUGUAAUAGCAGAUAUCCAGUUAUGGGCUUCCCUGGUGGCUCAACUGGUAAAGAAUCUGCCUGCAAUGCAGGAGACCCAGGUUUGAUCCCUGAGUUAGGAGCAUCCCCUGGAGAAGGAAAUGGCAAUCCACUCCAGUAUUCUUGCCCGGAGAAUCCCAUGGACCAGAGGAGCCUGGUAGGAUCACCCAUGGGAUUGCAAAGAGACAUGACUGAACUACUAAACACAUAUCCACUUAGUUUCUAUUAAAAACUGUCUCAUAAUUGUACAGGAUCCAAAUAAGGUCUACUUUAUUCAAGUUGGUUGUUAUCCUUAUAGACUUGAGCACUCUCCUGCUCAUUUGUACUUUUUUAUGAAACGUUUAUUACAGUGUUUUCUACUGUUUGGAUUUUGCAAAUUGUAUCACCUUGGUUUAGUUUAGCCUAUUCCUCUAUAUCUCCUAUAGAUUGGAAAUUGACUCCAGAGGCUUGAUCACUUUGGUGUGGGGCGGCGGGUGGGCAAGAUUAUAGGCAGUAAAUGUCUGUUUUUUUCUGUUGGGGGAAUACCAGCAAUCAUUGACCAGUGCCCAGAUCAGCCAGUUUUUAAGAGGUGUCAAAAUGCUGGUACUCUGAUUCUAUCAUCGUUCUUUAUUUAUUAGCUAGAAUACUUGUAUGAAGGAAAAUAUCUCAUCUACUGUUUGCUUAGGGGUAUGGGAAAGGUGGGAGAAAUGCUGGGUUCACCCUCUUUAAUUCUUUUUCACACACAGUUGUCCUGUCUUUUGUCUCAAGUCCUUUGGACACAAUUGCAGUAGUGUUUGAGAGCUUCCUUAGUAUCUAAUAUCUAAUAUAGAGAUCGUAUGGUUUAGAGUUUCUCCGAGGGGCCCUGGUUCCUUUUGUUGGAAAACGAGAUUAUACCCUAGGUGCCAGGGGUGCUCAUUAGUAGAAGGUGGUCUUUCUUUCUAGACCUUUUCAGUGUUCAGAGCUGGCAAGUGUGUGUGUGUGUGUGUGUGUGUGUGUGUGUGUGUGCAUGUGUGUGUGUGUGUGUGUGACUUAGCUUUACUGAGAUAUGAUUUACAUGCAGUAAAUUUAUUUGUUUUAAAUGUACACGUUAUGAGUUCUGACAUGUGUAUAAUAACUACCACCAUGUGACAAUUUAGAACAUUCCAUUACCCCCCAAAAGUCCCCUCAUGCCCUUUUAGGACUUUAGGGUUUUGACUUGAGCUUCUUCUAUCACACAUCUGUAUUUCCCCACCCCCAAGAUCUCCCAAUUCUCAAGAAUACUGAGAGGUAAAAUUAGAAUGUCAUGCCAUACAACUGCUCACCUGCCUUAUCCUAACCACAGCACUCUCAGAAACUGCAACACCAAUAUUCCCACCAUAUGUCUGCCUGAAAAGUUUAAUUUCAUUUUUGUAGUUUGGGGUCCAAUUUUUUAUUUUGGUAUAACUGUAAAAAUGUAAAAAGCUUUAAGAAUUAUUUUUCUAAAGAAAUCUCAGUCCAACCCACAGGUACCUUUAUUUAGGUGCUUUGUCUUCUUGGGGCCUCAGCCUUCACCGGAGGAUUGCAUUCCUGGUCUCAGGUCAGCUGACUGCACUAACUGGCAACGUGGAAUAUCUAAACAGCAGUCGGGGUCCGGUUGUGACGGACCGCGCAGAAGCCUGGCCGUGAGGAGCUACCCCUCGCCCAGGGUCAGGGGUAGCGACCAAGAGUGUCAGGUUGUGACAGCUCAGGAGCGGCGGCCGAGAGGAGCUUCCCCACGCCCGAGGGCAGGGGCUGCAGCCGAGAGGAGCAACCCCAGUUCCAAGGAGCAGCUGCUGCGGGGCGCAGGAGGGCUGAGAGGAACUACUCCAUGUUCAAGGUCAGGAGGGGCGGCCAUGAGAAGAUACCCCUCUGCCAAGGUGAGGAGCAGCGGCUGCACUUUGCUGGAGCAGUCGUGAAGAGAUACCCCACGUCCAAGUUCUUACUCUGUGCCCGGCCCUGUUCCAAACCUUUUACAUUCAUUACCUGAGUUAAUUCUCACAGCAGCUCCAUGAUGUAGGUAAUAUUUCUCCCUGUCCUUCUCUUCUUUCCCCCACCCCCUCAAGUGAGGGAACUGAACCCCAGGAUUUUAUGUAACUUACCCAGAGUCACACAAUUAGCCCUGAGUCUGGAUAUCCUCACCCUCAGCCUCUGUGAUAUACUGAGUUCCUCCAAAUAUUGUUCCGUCACGAAGCUGUGUCCUCCUCUUUGUGACUCCAUGGACUGCAGCGCACCAGGCUUCUCUGUCCUUCAGUAUCUCCCAGAGAUUGCUCAAACUCAUGUCCAUUGAGUCGGUAAUCCAUCCAACCAUCUUAUCCUCUGUCUCCCCCUUCUCCUGCCUUCAAUCUUUCCAGCAGGAGGCUUUUUUCCAGUGAGUCAGUUCUUUGCAUCAAGUGACCAAAGGAUUGGAGCUUUAGCUUCAGCAUCAGUCCUUCCAAUGAAUAUUGAGUUGAUUUCCUUUAGUAUUGACUGUUUUGAUUUCCUUGCUGUCCAAGAGAUUCUCAAGAGUCUUCUCCAGCACCACAAUUCGAAAGCAUCGAUUCUUUGGUGCUCAGCCUUCUUUAGGGUUGGUCAAAAUUUCGUUUGGUGUUUUCUAUAACAUCUUAUAGAAAGAACCCAGAUGAACUUACUGGCCAACUCAAUAAAAAUAUCCACAGAAAGAAGGGGAAAUUAAGCUCAUGAAUGCUGCUUUAUGGCAACAAAACCCUCAGAUUCGUCUGGACCUGUGUGCACAGCAUAGCCCUUCCCACCCUGAAUAUGCAUUCCCGCAGCCAGUGCGGGAUUUAAGUGGAUUUAAGUCCCAGUUCAAGCACUUACCAAGCUGGGGAUGACCCUGUGAAAUUACUUACCCCUAAUUACUAAGCCUCAGUUUCCUUACCUGUAAAAUCAGGUUAAUAAUACCGGCCCCAAGGGUGUUACAGAGUUAGCGUCUAAUUAGCUGAUAACUAUGAUUUUUCUAGUCAGAAGUCCAUUGUUGAGAAUAGUUAAGACUGAGGUUCAGGCAACUCCCCCAGAAGAAGAACAGAGUGGAGCAAUUUUGGCCAAGUUAUUUUGUGCCCAGAACCCCAGAAAUGCCUCUUGGCUUUAUUGGACUUCACUUAUAACUCCUGGGAUGAGCGAUUCAAACCAGAAAUAUUUUUGCCCCUCAAGUGGACUGAACGGAGGCUCCCCCAUAAGUCCUAACACUUGGAACCCGUGAAUAUCACCUUACUUGAGAAAAAGGUCCCUGAAGGUGUAAUUAAUAAGUUAAGAAUCUCAAGAUAAGACCAACCUGGAUCAUCUCGGUAGUUCCUGAAUCUACUGUGUGUGUGUGCUAAGUCACUCCCACCAAUACUGGAGUGGGUAGCCUAUCCCUUCUCCAGCGGAUCUUCCCGAUCCAGGAAUCAAACCGGGUCUCCUGCAUUGCAGGUGGAUUCUUUACCAACUGAGCUAUCAGGGAAGCCCUGUGAGAAAAAUACAUGUCUGUUGGUUUAAGUCAGCAGUUUGUGGUAAUCUGUUAUAGCAAUCCUGGGAAACUAAUCCAUUUCUUUCUUCUCCCCCAACUCAACUCUGGGCUGUCCUCUUGACAGAGAGCCGACCGGAAAUGCAGCACACAAAGGAUGCCUCUGACAUGAGCUAAAUCCUGAGGACUGAGAAAGUCCAUGGGAAUGAAUAGAAAUGAACUUGCAGGCUUCCGGAAGUGAAGAGCAGAUGUUAGUGGUCGUGGAUAAUAAAUGUGUACUCGUUGAGUGAUCUUGCCUUUCUCCAGAGGUGACUGCAGGGGCUGUUUCCUUCAGAUACCUUUUCAAGGUCACCGAGUUUUGUUUUGGAAUUCAGGCAUGGUCUUUGGUUUGUGUGUUUGCUUCUGAAGCUUCAGUGGACAUGGGGAUGGGGAGAUGAUUGUCAUAAGCUUCCAGGAUGCACUUAAGAAGAACACAGUAGUCAAAAAAUUAUUCUUUAUUAAAUGGUGUGGAAAUGGGGGAAAUAGUCCUUGCCAAAAAAUGGCAAAAUAAUAGCAAAAUGAAGAAACAGACAAAGGAUUAAUCUCAAAAAUAUACAAGCAACUCCUGAAGCUCAAUUCCAGAAAAAUAAAUGACUCAAUCAAAAAAUGGGCCAAAGAACUAAACAGACAUUUCUCCAAAGAAGACAUACAGAUGGCUAACAAACACAUGAAAAGAUGCUCAACAUCACUCAUUAUUAGAGAAAUGCAAAUCAAAACCACAAUGAGGUACCAUUACACGCCAGUCAGGAUGGCUGCUAUCCAAAAGUCUACAAGCAAUAAAUGCUGGAGAGGGUGUGGAGAAAAGGGAACCCUCUUACACUGUUGGUGGGAAUGCAAACUAGUACAGCCGCUAUGGAAAACAGUGUGGAGAUUUCUUAAAAAACUGGAAAUAGAACUGCCAUAUGACCCAGCAAUCCCACUUCUGGGCAUACACACUGAGGAAACCAGACCUGAAAGAGACACGUGCACCCCAAUGUUCAUCGCAGCACUGUUUAUAAUAGCCAGGACAUGGAAGCAACCUAGAUGCCCAGCAGCAGAUGAAUGGAUAAGGAAGCUGUGGUACAUAUACACCAUGGAAUAUUACUCAGCCGUCAAAAAGAAUUCAUUUGAAUCAGUUCUAAUGAGAUGGAUGAAACUGGAGCCCAUUAUACAGAGUGAAGUAAGCCAGAAAGAUAAAGAACAUUACAUAUAUAUGGAAUUUGGAAAGAUGGUAAUGAUAACCCUAUAUGCAAAACAGAAAAAGAGACACAGAAGUACAGAACAGACUUUUGAACUCUGU